AUGAUGAGAGACGAGAAAGAGGAAACAUUCAAGUGGAUCUUCAGGGAGUUUGUCCGUAUGGUGGGUGGGAAACACCCGCAGACAAUACUUACAGAUCAGGCACGCUCCAUGGAGCUGGCAAUCGAAGCAGAGCUGCCCAAUACCGUCCACCAUUGGUGCAAAUGGCACGUUUUGAAAAAAGCUAAGGAGUCCAUGGGUGUUCUUUGGAGCAAGAACAGCGAAUUCAAACUGGAAUUUCACAAGCUUGUCCAUCACAUGAUCACGGGAGUUUGA
This 273-nucleotide ribosomal RNA is filed under the name Triticum aestivum (bread wheat). Its description in RNAcentral is "partial small subunit ribosomal RNA". Lineage: Eukaryota; Viridiplantae; Streptophyta; Magnoliopsida; Poales; Poaceae. The record is from RNAcentral.